This 1640-nucleotide long non-coding RNA is filed under the name Citrus x clementina. RNAcentral describes it as "Citrus clementina (C. clementina) long non-coding RNA (CCLE_LNC004139)". Lineage: Eukaryota; Viridiplantae; Streptophyta; Magnoliopsida; Sapindales; Rutaceae. The record is from RNAcentral.
UAGGAAUUUGUAAUCUAGAAAUCGUACCUUGAAAAUCCGAGUUGGCUUUUUCCGCUGAAGUGAUUUAGGCUCCUAGAUCACGAUCCGCCACCACCACUCAUGUUAGAUCACGAUCCGUCACCACUACGCUUGUUAGAUCACGAACUGUCACCAAUGAUCUUCCAGGUUAUGACUUAGGUUCGAUCUGCACUUGACAUGUGGGCGCCUUUAUCACUACCAAAGCAACUAGCACAAGAAAACUUUUCUCUCAACAAUAGAGAGAAAAAUCUUAUUCUCCGAUUUGUAUAAAGUGGCUUCACACUUUUUCUUUUGAGAAAAUAAGCCUUAUAUAUCUCCCUUUAGUGAAAACCCUAGGCUCCAAAUAAUGCCCCAAAUAAAACUCACGUUACUUUUCAUUUAAUAGGGGACCCACCAUGUAAAAUAGCAUAAGGCUCCUUACACAUAAGCUAAUUAAAUGGAGCCUCCCACUAAAUGAUAUAUUUAGGCUUUUGACCCAAAUAACUAGUUAUCUUGCUUAUUAGUCCAGUAGUGGUGCAGUCAAUUAAAUGAGCUAACCCGGGGAUCAUUUGGGAACAUACAAUAGUGGUUAUAACAAUUAGGCCUGUAAUUAAAUUAGCCUAAUUAUUUAAUUCCAAAUCUACUCCACUAAAAAAUUGGAAUUGACCUCCAUAAUUGGAUGCUCGAAUAAUAAUUCGUCCCAAGCCACAUUGAUUUCUUUACUGCACAAUCCUUUGUACCACAUCAUUAAUUAAAUCGAUAUCUCAACUGUCUAAUCAAUUUAAUCACAUCUUGUUCCUUGAUACUUAUUGGUUUUCUCUAAUGAUCAUUUUCAACAUACUAAAUAUGUUGACACACUCUGGCCAGAGAAUUCUAUGAUCAAGUGCCGAAAACCCAUCAAGAGAUGUGUUGUACAAAUUCUAUAUUGUUAAUUCAUAACUCCAAUACUCAUAAUUGCUCCCACCAAGAUACUGGGUAAUCUAGACUACAAGUACGUGCCAUGCCCAUUGGUAACUCAAAUGGAAUAACAAUUACAAUCAUAAAUUCAUAAUUAACUCAAGAUUAAGAUUACAGUAAAAUCAAUGCCUAUGAGAUUUAAUAAGUCUGACAGUUAUUACAAAGUUAAUUAAAUCUCACAUGUGAUCCUGUUCAAUGUAGUCGUACUACAUCAAUAAAUUCAUACAUGAUUAAGACAAAUCAUUCAAUGAAUUUAUUACAGUCUAUACCUAAAUAAAGUGCCCAACUUUAUUUAUCAACUGCGAACUAAAUUUAUUUAAUCAUAAGAUAACUUGUAUUUAUGUCUUCUGUGAAUCCACACGGUGAUCACAUAAAUACAUAUAAUAUGAUUAAAUGGACUUUAAUCCAAAUAUUAAUGCAAUUAAGAUAUUUGAAUAAAAUACCUCAUUUAUUUUAUUAAUCAGAAAAAAAAUGUUUAUUACAAUUAAAUAAACACAUAUGCUUUUAAAGAGCAUAUUUUCCCAACAGUUUUAUCUUUAUUCAAAUUUUAAACCAAACCCAACGUUUUAAAAGUAAACUAAAUAAAGAUAAAUAUCAAUUUAAAUUAGAAAACUAAUAAUUAAAAUAAAUUAGAUGGCCACAUUAUACACGUUUUGAAAACGUGUCUAACAUUCUAAAUUAAUGUU